RNAcentral lists this ribosomal RNA (253 nucleotides) under uncultured bacterium. RNAcentral describes it as "partial 16S ribosomal RNA". It matches the Rfam family "Bacterial small subunit ribosomal RNA", at positions 524 to 776 of the family's 1533-position model. The record is from RNAcentral.
UACGUAGGUGGCAAGCGUUGUCCGGAUUUAUUGGGUUUAAAGGGUGCGUAGGCGGCCCUAUAAGUCAGUGCUGAAAUAUCCCGGCUUAACCGGGAGGGUGGCAUUGAUACUGCGGGGCUAGAGUACAGAUGAGGUAGGCGGAAUUGACGGUGUAGCGGUGAAAUGCUUAGAUAUCGUCAAGAACACCUAUAGCGAAGGCAGCUUACUAGGCUGUAACUGACGCUGAGGCACGAAAGUGUGGGGAUCAAACAGG